CCCUGGCUCAGGAUGAACGCAGGCGGCGUGCUUAACACAUGCAAGUCGAACGAUGAUCCCAGCUUGCUGGGGGAUUAGUGGCGAACGGGUGAGUAACACGUGAGUAACCUGCCCUUAACUCUGGGAUAAGCCUGGGAAACUGGGUCUAAUACCGGAUAUGACUCCUCAUCGCAUGGUGGGGGGUGGAAAGCUUUAUUGUGGUUUUGGAUGGACUCGCGGCCUAUCAGCUUGUUGGUGAGGUAAUGGCUCACCAAGGCGACGACGGGUAGCCGGCCUGAGAGGGUGACCGGCCACACUGGGACUGAGACACGGCCCAGACUCCUACGGGAGGCAGCAGUGGGGAAUAUUGCACAAUGGGCGAAAGCCUGAUGCAGCGACGCCGCGUGAGGGAUGACGGCCUUCGGGUUGUAAACCUCUUUCAGUAGGGAAGAAGCGAAAGUGAACGGUACCUGCAGAAGAAGCGCCGGCUAACUA
RNAcentral lists this ribosomal RNA (474 nucleotides) under Micrococcineae bacterium CL5.2. RNAcentral's name for it is "bacterial SSU rRNA". It matches the Rfam family "Bacterial small subunit ribosomal RNA", at positions 17 to 503 of the family's 1533-position model. Lineage: Bacteria; Bacillati; Actinomycetota; Actinomycetes; Micrococcales. The record is from RNAcentral.